GAAAAAGCCACUAAGCUUCAGUCUGGAGUUGACCGUACCGCAAACCGACACAGGUGGGCAGGAUGAAAAUUCUAAGGCGCUUGAGAGAACUCAGGAGAAGGAACUCGGCAAAUUAACACCGUAACUUCGGGAGAAGGUGUGCCCCGGUAGCGUGUAGAGACUUGCUCUCGAAGCGCGAUGGGGUUGCAGUGAAAUGGUGGCUGCGACUGUUUAACAAAAACACAGCACUCUGCAAACACGAAAGUGGACGUAUAGGGUGUGACGCCUGCCCGGUGCCGGAAGGUUAAGUGAUGGGGUGCAAGCUCUUGAUCGAAGCCCCGGUAAACGGCGGCCGUAACAAUAACGGUCCUAAGGUAGCGAAAUUCCUUGUCGGGUAAGUUCCGACCUGCACGAAUGGCGUAACGAUGGCCACACUGUCUCCUCCUGGGACUCAGCGAAGUUGAAAUGUUUGUGAAGAUGCAAUCUACCCGCGGCUAGACGGAAAGACCCCAUGAACCUUUACUGUAGCUUUGCAUUGGACUUUGAACCGGUUUGUGUAGGAUAGGUGGAAGACUGUGAAGCCGGGACGCUAGUUUCGGUGGAGUCAACCUUGAAAUACCACCCUGAUUUGUUUGAGGUUCUAACCUUGGUCCGUGAAUCCGGAUCGGGGACCGUGCAUGGUAGGCAGUUUGACUGGGGCGGUCUCCUCCCAAAAGGUAACGGAGGAGUACGAAGGUACGCUUAGGGCGGUCGGACAUCGCCCACAAAGUGCAAUGGCAAAAGCGUGCUUGACUGCGAGACCCACAAGUCGAGCAGGUACGAAAGUAGGUCAUAGUGAUCCGGUGGUUCUGUAUGGAAGGGCCAUCGCUCAACGGAUAAAAGGUACUCUGGGGAUAACAGGCUAAUUCCUCCCAAGAGUUCAUAUCGACGGGGGAGUUUGGCACCUCGAUGUCGGCUCAUCACAUCCUGGGGCUGUAGUCGGUCCCAAGGGUAUGGCUGUUCGCCAUUUAAAGUGGUACGCGAGCUGGGUUUAAAACGUCGUGAGACAGUUUGGUCCCUAUCUGCCGUGGGCGCUGGAAAUUUGAAGGGGGCUGCUCCUAGUACGAGAGGACCGGAGUGGACGAACCUCUGGUGUACCGGUUAUGACGCCAGUCGUAUCGCCGGGUAGCUAAGUUCGGAAGAGAUAAACGCUGAAAGCAUCUAAGCGUGAAACUCGCCUUAAGAUAAGAUUUCCCGGAGUCUUGAACUCCCUGAAGGGUCGUCGAAGACCACGACGUUGAUAGGUCAGGUGUGGAAGCGCAGCAAUGCGUUAAGCUAACUGAUACUAAUUGCCCGUGCGGCUUGAUC
RNAcentral lists this ribosomal RNA (1326 nucleotides) under metagenome. Its description in RNAcentral is "bacterial LSU rRNA". It matches the Rfam family "Bacterial large subunit ribosomal RNA", at positions 1611 to 2925 of the family's 2925-position model. The record is from RNAcentral.